Molecule: ribosomal RNA, 288 nt
Filed under: uncultured Eubacteriales bacterium
Lineage: Bacteria; Bacillati; Bacillota; Clostridia; Eubacteriales
Description: uncultured Clostridiales bacterium partial 16S ribosomal RNA
Rfam family: Bacterial small subunit ribosomal RNA (bases 50-288)
Source: RNAcentral
AAGCAUUUGCGACAGAUUUUUCGGAAUGAAGUUUUUGUGACUGAGUGGCGGACGGGUGAGUAACGCGUGGGUAACCUGCCUUGUACUGGGGGACAACAGUUGGAAACGACUGCUAAUACCGCAUAAGCUUACGGUACCGCAUGGUACAGUAAGAAAAACUCCGGUGGUACAGGAUGGGCCCGCGUCUGAUUAGCUGGUUGGCGGUGUAACGGACCACCAAGGCAACGAUCAGUAGCCGGCUUGAGAGGGCGACCGGCCACAUUGGGACUGAGAUACGGCCCAGACUCC